CUACGGGAGGCAGCAGUAAGGAAUAUUGGACAAUGGUCGCAAGACUGAUCCAGCCAUGCCGCGUGCAGGAAGACGGCCCUAUGGGUUGUAAACUGCUUUUGUACGGGAGAAAACCUCUUUACGUGUAGAGAGCUGAUAGUACCGUAAGAAUAAGCAUCGGCUAACUUCGUGCCAGCAGCCGCGGUAAGACGAAGGAUGCAAGCGUUAUCCGGAUUCAUUGGGUUUAAAGGGAGCGUAGGUGGAUUUGUAAGUCAGUGGUGAAAGCCGGUCGCUUAACGAUCGAAUUGCCAUUGAUACUGCAGAUCUUGAGUACAGAUGAUGUGGGCGGAAUAUGACAUGUAGUGGUGAAAUACUUAGAGAUGUCAUAGAACACCGAUUGCGAAGGCAGCUCACAAAACUGUAACUGACACUGAGGCUCGAAAGUGCGGGGAUCAAACAGGAUUAGAAACCCCGGUAGUCC
This 460-nucleotide ribosomal RNA is filed under the name uncultured bacterium. RNAcentral describes it as "bacterial SSU rRNA". It matches the Rfam family "Bacterial small subunit ribosomal RNA", at positions 339 to 796 of the family's 1533-position model. The record is from RNAcentral.